Molecule: non-coding RNA, 36 nt
Filed under: Kordia algicida OT-1
Lineage: Bacteria; Pseudomonadati; Bacteroidota; Flavobacteriia; Flavobacteriales; Flavobacteriaceae
Source: RNAcentral
AAGGUGUUCCCUGAAAAACCUGAAAUAGAGUAAGGA